AGUGAACGCUGGCGGUAGGCCUAACACAUGCAAGUCGAACGGCAGCACAGUAAGAGCUUGCUCUUACGGGUGGCGAGUGGCGGACGGGUGAGGAAUACAUCGGAAUCUACUUUUUCGUGGGGGAUAACGUAGGGAAACUUACGCUAAUCCCGCAUACGACCUACGGGUGAAAGCAGGGGAUCUUCGGACCUUGCGCGAUUGAAUGAGCCGAUGUCGGAUUAGCUAGUUGGCGGGGUAAAGGCCCACCAAGGCGACGAUCCGUAGCUGGUCUGAGAGGAUGAUCAGCCACACUGGAACUGAGACACGGUCCAGACUCCUACGGGAGGCAGCAGUGGGGAAUAUUGGACAAUGGGCGAAAGCCUGAUCCAGCCAUACCGCGUGGGUGAAGAAGGCCUUCGGGUUGUAAAGCCCUUUUGUUGGGAAAGAAAAGCAGCAGGUUAAUACCCCGCUGUUAUGACGGUACCCAAAGAAUAAGCACCGGCUAACUUCGUG
Molecule: ribosomal RNA, 492 nt
Filed under: uncultured bacterium
Lineage: Bacteria
Description: partial 16S ribosomal RNA
Rfam family: Bacterial small subunit ribosomal RNA
Source: RNAcentral